This 1585-nucleotide ribosomal RNA is filed under the name metagenome. RNAcentral's name for it is "bacterial LSU rRNA". It matches the Rfam family "Bacterial large subunit ribosomal RNA", at positions 1321 to 2925 of the family's 2925-position model. The record is from RNAcentral.
CCGAGAAACAUGCCCGUCGAAAGCCCAAGGUUUCCUGGGGAAGGUUCAUCCACCCAGGGUAGGUCGGGGCCUAAGCCGAGGACGGAAGUCGUAGGCGAUGGAGAGCAGGUUGAAAUUCCUGCACCACCGAGGAAUGAAGCAGUGACGCAGAAGGAUAGCUCGAGCAGGGUGAUGGUCAACUCUGUGCAAGCAUCGAGGUUGGGAUAUAGUGAAGUACGUAUCCCUCUAAGCUGAGGUGUGAUGCGGACCGAAAUUGAGUAGGGAAGCGAGUGAGUUCACGCUGACAAGAAAGGCUGCUAGUACAUCCGAAGGUGCCCGUACCGGAAACCGACGCAGGUGGGCGAGGAGAGAAUCCUGAGACGAACGGGAGAACCCUUGUUAAGGAACUCGGCAAAAUGACCCCGUAACUUCGGGAAAAGGGGUGCCUACGAAAGUAGGUCGCAGAGAAUAGUCACAAGCGACUGUUUAGCAAAAACACAGGUAUCUGCGAAAGCGAGAGCUGACGUAUAGGUGCUGACACCUGCCCGGUGCUGGAAGGUUAAGGGAACAUGUUAGAGCAAUCGAAGCAUCGAACCGAAGCCCCAGUAAACGGCGGCCGUAACAAUAACGGUCCUAAGGUAGCGAAAUUCCUUGUCGGGUAAGUUCCGACCCGCACGAAUGGUGUAACGACUUGUGAGCUGUCUCAACAGGGGGCCCGGUGAAAUUGAAGUAUGGGUGAAGAUGCCCAUUACCCGCGACUGGACGGAAAGACCCCGUAGAGCUUUACUGCAGCCUGAUAUUGGAUUUCGGUAACGGAUGUACAGGAUAGGUGGGAGGCUGGGAAACCGUGACGUCAGUCAUGGCGGAGCCGCCGGUGGGAUACCACUCUUUUGUUACUGAAACUCUAACAUGGACCCGUGAAACCGGGUAAUGGACAGUGUCAGGUGGACAGUUUGACUGGGGCGGUCGCCUCCGAAAGAGUAACGGAGGCGCCCAAAGGUACCCUCAGAAUGGAUGGAAACCAUUCGAAGAGUGCAAAGGCAGAAGGGUGCCUGACUGCGAGAGUGACAAUUCGAGCAGAGACGAAAGUCGGGCUUAGUGAUCCGGUGGUUUUUGAGUGGAAAAGCCGUCGCUUAACGGAUAAAAGCUACCUCGGGGAUAACAGGCUGAUCUCCCCCAAGAGUCCACAUCGACGGGGAGGUUUGGCACCUCGAUGUCGGCUCGUCGCAUCCUGGGGCUGAAGCAGGUCCCAAGGGUUUGGCUGUUCGCCAAUUAAAGCGGCACGCGAGCUGGGUUCAGAACGUCGUGAGACAGUUCGGUCCCUAUCCAUCGUGGGCGUAGGAGUCAUGAGAGGAGCUGUUCCUAGUACGAGAGGACCGGAAUGGACGCAUCACUGGUGCAACUGUUGUCGUGCCAACGGCAUAGCAGGGAAGCGAAAUGCGGAUGGGAUAAACGCUGAAGGCAUCUAAGCGUGAAGCCCACCUCGAGAAGAAGACUCCCAUUCGAAAGAAGUAAGACCCCUGGAGGACUACCAGGUAGAUAGGUCAUCGGUGGAAGUUCGGUAACGAAUGGAGCUUGAUAAUACUAAUAGGUCGAGGGCUUGACU